AACGAACGCUGGCGGCACGCCUAACACAUGCAAGUCGAACGGCAGCAGGUCCUUCGGGAUGCUGGCGAGUGGCAAACGGGUGAGUAACACGUGGAAACCUAUCUUGGGGCGGGGGACAACGACUGGAAACGGUUGCUAAUACCGCAUACGCCUUAUGAGGGAAAGAUUUAUCACCCUAGGAGGGUUCCGCGUCGGAUUAGCUUGUUGGUGGGGUAACGGCCUACCAAGGCGACGAUCCGUAGCUGGUCUUAGAGGAUGAUCAGCCACACUGGGACUGAGACACGGCCCAGACUCCUACGGGAGGCAGCAGUGGGGAAUAUUGCGCAAUGGGGGAAACCCUGACGCAGCGAUGUCGCGUGAGUGAAUAAGGCCUUAGGGUUGUAAAGCUCUUUCAGUAGGGAAGAUGAUGACGGUACCUACAGAAGAAGCCCCGGCUAACUCCGUGCCAGCAGCCGCGGUAAUACGGAGGGGGCGAGCGUUGUUCGGAAUUAUUGGGCGUAAAGGGCGCGUAGGCGGUUUAUCAAGUCAGAAGUGAAAGCCUCAGGCUCAACCUGGGAAUUGCUUUUGAAACUAGUAGACUAGAGUCCGGCAGAGGGUGGUGGAAUUCCCCGUGUAGAGGUGAAAUUCGUAGAUAUGGGGAGGAAGACCGGAGGCGAAGGCGGCCACCUGGACCGGUACUGACGCUGAGGCGCGAAAGCGUGGGGAGCAAACAGGAUUAGAUACCCUGGUAGUCCACGCUGUAAACGAUGAGUGCUAGUUGUCGCGGGUAUCGACCCCUGCGGCAACGAAGUUAACGCGUUAAGCACUCCGCCUGGGGAGUACGGCCGCAAGGCUAAAACUCAAAGGAAUUGACGG
RNAcentral lists this ribosomal RNA (855 nucleotides) under uncultured bacterium. Its description in RNAcentral is "bacterial SSU rRNA". It matches the Rfam family "Bacterial small subunit ribosomal RNA", at positions 28 to 916 of the family's 1533-position model. The record is from RNAcentral.